GAGAGCCGAAUGCGCUGAAAGGUGCACGUUCGGUUCGGAGGGGGGCCUAGCGAUGUUCUCUCCGAGACAUUGCGGGCCUACCCUAC
Molecule: non-coding RNA, 86 nt
Organism: Novosphingobium aromaticivorans DSM 12444
Lineage: Bacteria; Pseudomonadati; Pseudomonadota; Alphaproteobacteria; Sphingomonadales; Sphingomonadaceae
Source: Rfam